UACGAAGGGGGCUAGCGUUGCUCGGAAUCACUGGGCGUAAAGCGCACGUAGGCGGCUUGUUAAGUCAGGGGUGAAAUCCUGGAGCUCAACUCCAGAACUGCCUUUGAUACUGACGGUCUUGAGUUCGGGAGAGGUGAGUGGAACUGCGAGUGUAGAGGUGAAAUUCGUAGAUAUUCGCAAGAACACCAGUGGCGAAGGCGGCUCACUGGCCCGAUACUGACGCUGAGGUGCGAAAGCGUGGGGAGCAAACAGG
RNAcentral lists this ribosomal RNA (253 nucleotides) under uncultured bacterium. RNAcentral describes it as "partial 16S ribosomal RNA". It matches the Rfam family "Bacterial small subunit ribosomal RNA", at positions 524 to 776 of the family's 1533-position model. The record is from RNAcentral.